RNAcentral lists this ribosomal RNA (298 nucleotides) under uncultured bacterium. Its description in RNAcentral is "partial 16S ribosomal RNA". It matches the Rfam family "Bacterial small subunit ribosomal RNA", at positions 43 to 364 of the family's 1533-position model. The record is from RNAcentral.
UCGGGCCUAACACAUGCAAGUUGUGCGAGAGUUUUUGACUCUAGUGGCGGACGGGUGAGUAACACGUGAGAAUUUGCCUUUAGGAGGGGGACAUCAAUUAGAAACGAAUGCUAAUACCCCAUAUGCUUUAGAGUGAAAUGGAUUUUAUCCUCCUAGAGAGAAGCUCGCGGCUGAUUAGCUUGUUGGUAAGGUAAGAGCUUACCAAGGCGACGAUCAGUAUCUGGUUUGAGAGGAGGAUCAGACACACUGGAACUGAGACACGGUCCAGACUCCUUCGGGAGGCAGCAGUGGGGAAUUU